CCUACGGGAGGCAGCAGUGGGGAAUAUUGCACAAUGGGCGAAAGCCUGAUGCAGCAACGCCGCGUGCGGGAAGAAGGCCCUAGGGUUGUAAACCGCUUUCAGCAGGGAAGAAAAUGACGGUACCUGCAGAAGAAGGUGCGGCCAACUACGUGCCAGCAGCCGCGGUGACACGUAGGCACCAAGCGUUGUCCGGAUUUAUUGGGCGUAAAGAGCUCGUAGGCGGUUCAGUAAGUCGGGUGUGAAAACUCUGGGCUCAACCCAGAGACGCCACCCGAUACUGCUGUGACUUGAGUACGGUAGGGGAGCGGGGAAUUCCUGGUGUAGCGGUGAAAUGCGUAGAGAUCGGGAGGAACAUCUGUGGCGAAGGCGGCCACCUGGACCAGCACUGACACUGAGGCACGAAAGCGUGGGGAGCAAACAGGAUUAGAUACCCUGGUAGUCCACGCCCUAAACGAUGCGAACUGGACGUUGGGCUCAACUAGGAGCUCAGUGUCGAAGCUAACGCGUUAAGUUGACCGCCUGGGGAGUACGGCCGCAAGGUUGAAACUCAAAUGAAUUGACGG
This 563-nucleotide ribosomal RNA is filed under the name uncultured bacterium. Its description in RNAcentral is "bacterial SSU rRNA". It matches the Rfam family "Bacterial small subunit ribosomal RNA", at positions 338 to 916 of the family's 1533-position model. The record is from RNAcentral.